AGGCAAUGAUGAAGCAAAUAGUCAUGCACCACUCAGAUCUUUCUCAGUGAUGAUGAUACUGUACUAUUACCCAUCUUUUUGAGCCU
Molecule: small nucleolar RNA, 86 nt
Organism: Dendrobium catenatum
Lineage: Eukaryota; Viridiplantae; Streptophyta; Magnoliopsida; Asparagales; Orchidaceae
Product: small nucleolar RNA Z221/R21b
Exons: 1
Source: RefSeq, a predicted model, not a curated record